Molecule: ribosomal RNA, 449 nt
Filed under: uncultured bacterium
Lineage: Bacteria
Description: partial 16S ribosomal RNA
Rfam family: Bacterial small subunit ribosomal RNA
Source: RNAcentral
CCUACGGGGGGCUGCAGUGGGGAAUUUUGGACAAUGGGGGCAACCCUGAUCCAGCCAUGCCGCGUGAGUGAAGAAGGCCUUCGGGUUGUAAAGCUCUUUCGGCCGGGAAGAAAUCGCUCAAGCUAAUACCUUGGGUGGAUGACGGUACCGGAAGAAGAAGCACCGGCUAACUACGUGCCAGCAGCCGCGGUAAUACGUAGGGUGCGAGCGUUAAUCGGAAUUACUGGGCGUAAGGCGUGCGCAGGCGGCGAAAGCCCCGGGGCUAAGCUUGGAACCGCGUUUGGGAAUGUGGUGGUCGAGUGCGGCAGAGGGGGGUGGAAUUCCACGUGUAGCAGUGAAAUGCGUAGAGAUGUGGAGGAACACCGAUGGCGAAGGCAGCCCCCUGGGUCGACACUGACGCUCAUGCACGAAAGCGUGGGGAGCAAACAGGAUUAGAUACCCUUGUAGUC